RNAcentral lists this ribosomal RNA (720 nucleotides) under Pseudoalteromonas sp. PA12. Its description in RNAcentral is "bacterial SSU rRNA". It matches the Rfam family "Bacterial small subunit ribosomal RNA", at positions 69 to 786 of the family's 1533-position model. The record is from RNAcentral. Lineage: Bacteria; Pseudomonadati; Pseudomonadota; Gammaproteobacteria; Alteromonadales; Pseudoalteromonadaceae.
AACAGAGAGAAGCUUGCUUCUUUGCUGACGAGCGGCGGACGGGUGAGUAAUGCUUGGGAACAUGCCUUGAGGUGGGGGACAACAGUUGGAAACGACUGCUAAUACCGCAUAAUGUCUACGGACCAAAGGGGGCUUCGGCUCUCGCCUUUAGAUUGGCCCAAGUGGGAUUAGCUAGUUGGUGAGGUAAUGGCUCACCAAGGCGACGAUCCCUAGCUGGUUUGAGAGGAUGAUCAGCCACACUGGGACUGAGACACGGCCCAGACUCCUACGGGAGGCAGCAGUGGGGAAUAUUGCACAAUGGGCGCAAGCCUGAUGCAGCCAUGCCGCGUGUGUGAAGAAGGCCUUCGGGUUGUAAAGCACUUUCAGUCAGGAGGAAAGGUUGGCGGUUAAUACCCGUUAGCUGUGACGUUACUGACAGAAGAAGCACCGGCUAACUCCGUGCCAGCAGCCGCGGUAAUACGGAGGGUGCGAGCGUUAAUCGGAAUUACUGGGCGUAAAGCGUACGCAGGCGGUUUGUUAAGCGAGAUGUGAAAGCCCCGGGCUCAACCUGGGAACUGCAUUUCGAACUGGCAAACUAGAGUGUGAUAGAGGGUGGUAGAAUUUCAGGUGUAGCGGUGAAAUGCGUAGAGAUCUGAAGGAAUACCGAUGGCGAAGGCAGCCACCUGGGUCAACACUGACGCUCAUGUACGAAAGCGUGGGGAGCAAACGGGAUUAGAUACC